UACGUAGGGUGCGAGCGUUGUCCGGAAUUAUUGGGCGUAAAGAGCUUGUAGGCGGUUUGUCGCGUCUGCUGUGAAAAUCCGGGGCUCAACCCCGGACUUGCAGUGGGUACGGGCAGGCUAGAGUGUGGUAGGGGAGACUGGAAUUCCUGGUGUAGCGGUGGAAUGCGCAGAUAUCAGGAGGAACACCGAUGGCGAAGGCAGGUCUCUGGGCCACUACUGACGCUGAGAAGCGAAAGCAUGGGGAGCGAACAGG
This 253-nucleotide ribosomal RNA is filed under the name uncultured bacterium. RNAcentral's name for it is "partial 16S ribosomal RNA". It matches the Rfam family "Bacterial small subunit ribosomal RNA", at positions 524 to 776 of the family's 1533-position model. The record is from RNAcentral.